RNAcentral lists this ribosomal RNA (426 nucleotides) under uncultured bacterium. RNAcentral describes it as "bacterial SSU rRNA". It matches the Rfam family "Bacterial small subunit ribosomal RNA", at positions 355 to 773 of the family's 1533-position model. The record is from RNAcentral.
UGGGGAAUCUUGCGCAAUGCGCGAAAGCGUGACGCAGCAACGCCGCGUGGGGGAAGAAGGCCUUCGGGUUGUAAACCCCUUUCAGUUGGGACGAAGCUUCGUCGGUUAAUAGCCGGCUGGAGUGACGGUACCUUCACAAGAAGCCCCGGCUAACUACGUGCCAGCAGCCGCGGUAAUACGUAGGGGGCUAGCGUUGUCCGGAAUCAUUGGGCGUAAAGCGCGUGUAGGCGGUCCGGUAAGUCCGCUGUGAAAGUCGGGGGCUCAACCCUCGGAUGCCGGUGGAUACUGUCGGGCUUGAGUACGGAAGAGGCGAGUGGAAUUCCUGGUGUAGCGGUGAAAUGCGCAGAUAUCAGGAGGAACACCAAUUGCGAAGGCAGCUCGCUGGGACGUUACUGACGCUGAGACGCGAAAGCGUGGGGAGCAAAC